Long non-coding RNA from Passer domesticus (house sparrow), 3853 nucleotides. RefSeq lists it as uncharacterized. The transcript is spliced from 2 exons. The record is from RefSeq and is a predicted model, not a curated record. NCBI's taxonomy places the organism in Eukaryota, Metazoa, Chordata, Aves, Passeriformes, Passeridae.
AUAUAUUCAAAAUAUCCAGAACUGGGCUGCAACAACAGAGAGUGGCAGAAUACUUUCAGUAUUUAGACCAUGACAAUGUACCAGUUCAGCUACUCAGAGGCUGAAACCCUAAGAAAAUGUUGGUGUCCACUAAAGCAGAUUAGCCAGUAAUGCAGUUGUGGGAAUAUCUCCCUCAAGUGUGUGUGUGUGACAAUGGCCCAUGAAAUGACACCUACGAUGGGAACAUGGAACAUGCAGAAGAUAUUGCUAGAAUGAUAUGAACAGUAAAGAUUGAAUUGUUAUGAUCUGCUCAUGGAUGAACUUAAAAUUUCACAUAUAUCAAGAACAAACAUUUCUUCAGACUGCAGUCUUGAUAAAAAACACAAAUGUAAGGCUAAGGAGAGUUACUCUCCUGAUGAGAGCAUUACCCUUCCAUAGCUAGUGAUUUAAACCUAUCCUAGCUCAAGCAGAACAACAAACAGAUAGUAAAGGAUGACAUGUCAAUUUUUCUCUAUGUGGAAGGCUAAGAUCACAUAAAAAUGGAAAAACCACAUUGUGGGUGAGAGAAGUGUUUCAUUGUUUUGGAGUUAUAGAUCAAAACAUUAGGCUCCUGAAACCUGGACUGUGCUGCUUAGGAAAGCAAAAAUUAUCAUUAAGCAAGUAGGGGAAAAGCCUUGAAGAUAUACUUCUGUCUUAAUUUCUGUGUAACAAAGAAGAAUUUUCUAGAAAGGUCUAGAUUCACUCCCUUUUUUAAAAAAUGAUUGCAAAUGGCUGUAAAAUCACUGAACAAUGCAGUGGGAAAAGUUUACUUCCAGUCUGCCUUCAUUCUUGGAUGUCUAGCCCAUGUUCUCCAUAGGCUGACUGUCAUCAGGACACUUUGAUCUGGUUUUCUGCCUUUUUCCAAGAUACCUGAUGCUCUGCUAAUAGCAAUUUUUCCCCUGAAGAUGAUAGCUGCUCACAGCUGCUAUCCCUACCCUUUGUGGAUGCUUGGCAGCCCCUCCUCUGUCAUGCUGAGAACAAACACCUGGUCUUAUAUCUGAGAGGCUACUGGGCCCUUUGGAAGGGUGACAACUAAGCACCAGCUGUUAUCACUAAAAGAGCUCAUCCAUUUCUCUCCUCACCAUCUCCUGAAAUGCUCAAAGGGAAAAAAAAAAAAAAUCUGACCAGGAGCAGGCUGAAGAAAUUGUUGCCCAGAACAGGGGCACUUCAGAUCCUAAAGACUUUGUACUCUAUAUGAUUAGAAAGACUGGGUGCAACUGCUCUCUUUUGUUCUAGUUCUUAUGUGGUUCCUGUUCCUACAAUGCUGGAAAAUAUUUGCUGCAGUUUAAACUUUCCCAAAAUAUAUCACGUUUUUAACUCCCAUCCCAAUCACUCACUCAUUUGUAAACAUGUCUAUCCUGUCAGGAUUGAUAUGCAGGAAAAUGGACAAGGAUGCUGUGUUAAGUCAUAGUUUAUGGCAGCUCAGGCCACAUCUUGCAACUUCAUGAAAAUUUAAUUACAUUUCUGAGUUCACUGAACUGAUUUUCUCUGCUUUCUAAUAUCAACUAAUUGACUAUAUUUUGUCAAACAUAGAAAAAGAAAAGAACACCCCAAAGUAGGCAGAUAACUACCUUACACUGUAGCUGGAACUAUUUCACAGUUCACUUCUCCAAUGAGAUUAUGAGGCAGCUGCUACAUCAGCUGGUUGCUUUCUUUCUAUCAUGGAGCAUUCACCUCCUUCAUAGUUGAUCUUCUCAAGUUGUUGCCAGGUACCGAGCCGUUAUCUAAGCAGCAGCUUAUCAUGUUUGAGAUGUUUCUCCUCAGAGAAACACCUAUUUCUAACUUCCUACGCUUCCAUCAUGUUUGGUUAGCUAUUCCCUACUCCAACAGUUGUUCCUUGCUGCCUCUUCCCUAAUUGUUGCUUACUCAGUGACCUGUUCCAUCUACUGCAGCUUUAUUAACAAUUUCUCUUAAUUCAUCUCCAUCAACACAAACACUGCUGUGGGCUGAUGCAGGCUAUACAACAUCGCUAUUUCAACUUCCACUGCUUUCCUAGAAACACUGAAGUAAAAUAUCACAUUUUUCUUUUUUUUCCACAGCACUUAAUUUGUAUCCACAUCACUACAGAAUUGGUGUUUAAGUUGUGCAUUUAUCUCAGAAUUUGUGAGCUGGUCUGUGUUUUCUUAUAUUCUUACAGCUCCAGAUUUUCUCUGGUUAGCUGUGGACUUCCUUUUCAAUAACUAUGAAACACAAAAAAUAGGACAUGUUAAAAGAUGUCAUGUUUCAUCAGGUGCUUUCAUUUAUCUUCCUUUCUCUCUAUCACAAAUCCAGAGAGCUGUCUAUGGUCUCUGAAAACCUCCUGUGAUUUUCUUUUAGGAUCCAACUAUCAGGCAUAUUUGAGAAUGUAGAAUUUCUGCUCUGCCAGUGUAGAAUUAUAGCAGUGUAUGGAAUAGGAUGAACCCUAUUCUCUAAUCCCAAGAUUAAUUUUAGGUGUGGAAUUUUGCCUUUCUCUUAGAAUUAUUUGUGCCAGUCAAAAUUCAGAAGACAUCUGACGCAAAAGUAGGUUUCCAUCUAGUAGCAGCUGGAAAAGCAGCAUCAGAAUAAAGUACCAAGCCCCCAGAUUCAGGCCACACUCUCUGACUUUGUCACUAAUCUCAAUUUAAUUGAUAGUGGGAAAACCUACAUUAAGAAUAGAAGUAGAAAUUGUUGCUCAAAAUAUAGAAAAGCAAGCAAGGAGAGAAAUCUACUUCAAAUGGAUGAAACAGUAGAAGAGAAAAAAAUCUUGAUUUUAGGAAGAUGUAGCAUGGUAAUUCACUGUUUCAUCCGACUUGUAUAGCAAGCUGUGGACAACCAGUUAUAUCAGUCAGUUUAAGAGGAGUUAGCAGCACUUAACCACCACUUUCCUUUAGUCCUAAAGUAGCAUCAGGAAAAAUUGCCCCAACCAUGUGGUUAUCACAAAGGGCUGGUUUGCCACCCUAUUUAUAGUCAGAUUACCUUUGUCUGAUUGGAAGUGUUGACAUUGUUCACUGAGGAGACAAAUCUAUUUUUGAAAGUCAUUAAGCUUCUCCAAAUUUUUGUGGCCUAUGCUGGUCUGGGAAAAUUGUCUUUGCCUUCCUGGAAAAAGAGUAAGAACUUCUCAUAAAAUUCCAUAAGGGUCUCAGUAUCUCCAUUUACUGCUGUGAUGUAGCACAGUCCUAUUUAGUUCUCCCUCUCAAACCGUCUCAAACCUUUAAUGGAUUAAGAUAUUUACAGUUUAUCACACAGAAAUAAAUUCCCUCUCUCUCUUCAAACUCAGAUCUUACUGCUAGUUAUCACAACACCUGGCUGUUUUCAAAUACCACCUUCCUUGCACCGUUAGCUGCACACACUAUUUCAUUCCUUUUUUUCUCAGUAAGAGAUAAUCUCCAGUUUCUGUGGAUCUAUUUUCUUUGUAAGGGCUCUGGACUGCACAUGUGGUGAAGAACAUAUCUGUUAAAUCACCUUUGAAGUGAGAGCAGGGCUUUUCUGAGCAGAGGUUGGCAAAUAGGAGCUCCAUAUUCACAGUAAUGAUCAGUGAUGUUCUCUACCUCAAACAGUCCUCUUUUCUGAGAAAUCUCCUUAUCAUGCACAUGCAUUGCAUAAAGGCAUUGACUGGAUUUACCUUUUUCUUGGUGUCAGUUGUCUGUAACAGCCAUGGGCUAUAGCAAUAACCCUGACAAUGGCAGCUGCUUCUGUCUGUCUUAAGGAAGCAUAAAAGCCCUGGACUGUCCCCACUUCAGUCCUGGCAAAGGGAGCACCUCAGAGCAUGAGCUCAAUGUGGAGGAAGACCUUUUAGAUUAAAAAAAUAUAUGUUGUGUGGACUGCUGUGCACUGUUUUUGUGCUGUGGAAAAAACAGUGAUAAGAGAGUUUCAUUAA